AUUGUGGACUCGUAUGAAAGGCAAAAUGAGAGCCUGACUGUCUCUUACAACUAAUCAAUUAAACUGAUCUCCCAGUACAAAAGCUGGAAUACCCCCAUAAGACCAGAAGACCCUGUGAAGCUUUAACUAACCUAUUAAACCCCAUAAUAGUUAAUUUCGGUUGGGGCGACCUUGGAACAAAAAAGAACUUCCAACAUAUGACCUCCUCAUAUAUAAGGCAAACAAGCCUCAUUAGACCCAGUAUAUCUGAUUAAUGAACCAAGUUACUCCAGGGAUAACAGCGCUAUCUUCUUCAAGAGCCCAUAUCAAAAAGAAGGUUUACGACCUCGAUGUUGGAUCAGGACAUCCUAGUAAUGCAACCGUUACUGAGGGUUCGUUUGUUCAACGAUUAAUAGUCCUA
RNAcentral lists this ribosomal RNA (400 nucleotides) under Vipera ammodytes (sand viper). RNAcentral describes it as "partial 16S ribosomal RNA". It matches the Rfam family "Bacterial large subunit ribosomal RNA", at positions 1979 to 2598 of the family's 2925-position model. Lineage: Eukaryota; Metazoa; Chordata; Lepidosauria; Squamata; Viperidae. The record is from RNAcentral.